GUUUUCUGGCCGUGCCAAAAUGAGGCCCUGUGAUGGAUGCCAUCUUGGAAGCAUCACAGAUCAGCACAUACCAGAGACUGGAGCGACCAGCUGCUCUAGUUUCACAGAGCGCCUCAUCAGUGCAGACUUCAGCCAUUACCACAAACCUACAAAAAAUGCUUGCGUGAGAACCAACAGUAAAGGGCUGGACGUAAAAUUCUAGACUCCACCCUCAGCAUUAAAGUCAUGACAUUAUCAGCUGGAGAAUAGUCACGAAUCCUAGAAAGGUGUUCCCUCGAUGGAAAACCUUGGAUCCAAAAUGAAGUUAUUGGACCACAAUUCUUCCAACUAACCUGCCUUGAAGUCAUGUUAAUGAUUCAAAGCUCUUCAAACUUUGAAGAUCAUUAUUUAAAUCACGUCAGAAAGUGAGGACUGCUGUUGAACCUUAUUUUCCAAGGUGCCUUCAGAGCAGAUGGA
Astatotilapia calliptera (eastern happy) is the source of this 456-nucleotide long non-coding RNA. NCBI's taxonomy places the organism in Eukaryota, Metazoa, Chordata, Actinopteri, Cichliformes, Cichlidae. The record is from Ensembl.